CCUGGCUCAGGAUGAACGCUAGCGGCAGGCCUAAUACAUGCAAGUCGAGCGGCAAGUCGAGGAGUAAUCUGAGACCUAGAGCGGCGCACGGGUGCGUAACGCGUAUGCAACCUACCUCAUACAGGGGGAUAGCCCGGAGAAAUCUGGAUUAAUACCCCAUGGCACUUCGAAGAGGCAUUUCUUUGCAGUUAAAGAUUCAUCGGUAUGAGAUGGGCAUGCGUCUGAUUAGCUAGUUGGCGGUGUAACGGACCACCAAGGCGACGAUCAGUAGGGGUUCUGAGAGGAAGGUCCCCCACACUGGCACUGAGAUACGGGCCAGACUCCUACGGGAGGCAGCAGUAGGGAAUAUUGGGCAAUGGACGAGAGUCUGACCCAGCCAUGCCGCGUGCAGGAAGACGGCGUUCUGCGUUGUAAACUGCUUUUAUCUGGGAAGAAAAGGCCCAUGCGUGGGACAUUGCCGGUACCAGAUGAAUAA
This 475-nucleotide ribosomal RNA is filed under the name bacterium ML24. RNAcentral's name for it is "bacterial SSU rRNA". It matches the Rfam family "Bacterial small subunit ribosomal RNA", at positions 18 to 489 of the family's 1533-position model. The record is from RNAcentral. Lineage: Bacteria; Pseudomonadati; Bacteroidota.